UACGUAGGGUGCGAGCGUUGUCCGGAAUUAUUGGGCGUAAAGAGCUCGUAGGCGGUGUGUCACGUCGGCCGUGAAAACCUGCAGCUUAACUGUGGGCGUGCGGUCGAUACGGGCAUCACUGGAGUUCGGCAGGGGAGACUGGAAUUCCUGGUGUAGCGGUGAAAUGCGCAGAUAUCAGGAGGAACACCGGUGGCGAAGGCGGGUCUCUGGGCCGAAACUGACGCUGAGGAGCGAAAGCGUGGGGAGCAAACAGG
RNAcentral lists this ribosomal RNA (254 nucleotides) under uncultured bacterium. Its description in RNAcentral is "partial 16S ribosomal RNA". It matches the Rfam family "Bacterial small subunit ribosomal RNA", at positions 524 to 776 of the family's 1533-position model. The record is from RNAcentral.